RNAcentral lists this ribosomal RNA (280 nucleotides) under uncultured Peptoniphilus sp. RNAcentral describes it as "partial 16S ribosomal RNA". It matches the Rfam family "Bacterial small subunit ribosomal RNA", at positions 77 to 355 of the family's 1533-position model. The record is from RNAcentral. Lineage: Bacteria; Bacillati; Bacillota; Tissierellia; Tissierellales; Peptoniphilaceae.
CGAAGAUAAGACGGAUUAGCGGCGGACGGGUGAGUAACACGUGAGUAACCUGCCUUUACACAGGGAUAGCCUCGGGAAACCGGGAUUAAAACCUGAUGAAACUAUCAAAUCACAUGAUUAAGAAAGUUAAAACUCCGGUGGUAAAAGAUGGACUCGCGUCCCAUUAGCUAGUUGGUGAAGGUAACGGCCCACCAAGGCAACGAUGGGUAGCCGGCCUGAGAGGGUGAACGGCCACAUUGGAACUGAGAAACGGUCCAAACUCCUACGGGAGGCAGCAGCU